AAUAAGCGGCUUCAGCGAAUUUUGAAAGACUACUACAUCCCAACAGAUGCUCAGCUUGAUGACUUAAUUAGCCUUGUGUAUCUUAAGAUGGCUAAACCCGAAUUUUCUAGUUUUACUUUUAGUUCAAUAAAAAUAUACAACAAUGUAGCAUCUACAACAACUCUGCUUUAUUCAUUUUUAUUAAUAACGCUUCCAUCCAAAUUAUUAUUAAUAAUCGAUGAACAUACCGCGUGAUCCCAAACCUCACUUAUUCCUAGAGAUAAAAAACUCCGCUAGAAAAUUGUCCAAGGUAAUUUUGUCAUCCUACAUGAUGGCUCCCUCUGUCGGUCCUGGAAUAGCUCGGACGGUUCGGGAAUCCCAGAGACGUGAAUGAACGCGUUAGGUUUGUACAUUUAUUAUUGUGUGAAGUAUCGCAUGGCAGAUGAGGGAAUAGUGGAGGGUAAAAACAAAGUUGUGACCAGUGUUGCCACCUUUGUAGCAGCACUUUGUACUAAAAAUUCCCUUUUAGCCACCAAAAUGCCCUUUAAGAGGCUACUGCAGCGAGCUAAUUUUGUUGUUAGCAACUAAGAAAAAAGUUGUGGUUGUGACCAAGGUCCGUAAAGCGUGUUGUACAAGAUUGGCCAGACAAAGGAUUUCAACGUAUGAAAGGUGAACCCCCCUGAGAUGCCCUACUCGUGACGUCACGUGGACGCCGACAUUUUAAGAGAAAAGUAUUCUAUAUUUAUGUAUACCUUUGUUAUUUUGUCACUGACAAAGGUACAGCAGGUCAGAAAAUUGCAUAGUAGAAGGGUAUUUUUCUUAUUUGCGCAUUUAUCAGCCCCGCAUUAACCUUGCCGUGUGGCCGGUCGCUUUUGCCUACAGUGGUCACUGUUGGUUGCCUAACCUAUUGACAUCACUCUUUUACACGGGAACUAUGCUGAACGCUCAGACCAGUUAAUAAUCAUGUCACUGGGUUAAGACAAGUAGCUGAAUGCUUUUAUCAGUUGGAAAGUAAUUUUGAAACAGCCCGUUCCUGAAGCCCUUUGCUUAACCAAGAGGAAAGAUCCAAAUUUCAAUGGAAUUCUGUUCAUCUUAACAGAGAAUAAAUACAAGUAACAGCUUAUGGACAAUAUGGCUACUAUGACAAGCCCAGAUGAAUCUGCAGAGGUAAUGGUAGAAUUGGCCCUUUAUCAAUCUAAAAGGGUUAUUUGUAAAAAAAUGUAUGUUUUAAAAUCCUUCCUAUCCUUCUAUCUAUUUUAUUGCUUAUAAUUUAAAAUUAUUAGAUUCAUGUGAUACCACCUAGUCAUAGUUCUGCCACCAAUGUGGAGGUUAAUGAAGGCAAUGAAGUGAUUAAAUGCAGUGAUUUGGAAACUUUGCCAGAGUUGUCUGAAAAUUCAUUAUAUUCUAACUAAUAAUUGUUUAAAAUUUUUCUUAGAAUAAUAUUUGCUUUUUGUU
Onthophagus taurus is the source of this 1434-nucleotide non-coding RNA. The record is from RefSeq and is a predicted model, not a curated record. Lineage: Eukaryota; Metazoa; Arthropoda; Insecta; Coleoptera; Scarabaeidae.